Molecule: long non-coding RNA, 1212 nt
Filed under: Marmota monax (woodchuck)
Lineage: Eukaryota; Metazoa; Chordata; Mammalia; Rodentia; Sciuridae
Source: RNAcentral
CUCACCGGAGAGGAAUUAUGUUGCCUUGGAUUGAGCCCUGAGCUACACUCAUGGACAUGCUGGAGGCCCUCCUUAAAGGGUGCCUACCUGGCUCCCUUCAGGGGCUCCUGGGUUCAUGAACUGAUUUUAUCUGGAAAGUUGAUGAGGGAUCCUUUUUAUUGCAGUCAGGAUUCUGUUAGCUGAGCCACAGGUUCUGUCAUAUAAGUAGAACUCUGCUGGCUUUUCAUCUAGUUUUGUUCUGGGGGCCUGAUGAUUAGUUUCCUACUGUGAAAGAUCCCCGCAAUUCUGACCUUUCAAAUUACCUACAUGUCCUACAUGUCAUGGUCUCUGCACCUCUUUCUUCUGGCAGCUCAACACUGCUUAACCAUUGUUACUUAGCAUUCUGUUAUCUAAAUUGAAAUCUAAGAGCCUCUCCCCCUGCUUUUUUGGGAAUACUGGGGAUUGAACUGAGGGGCACUCGACCACUGAGCCACAUCCCCAGCCCUAUUUAGUAUUUUAUUUAGAGACAGGGUCUCAGUUUGCUUUUGCUGAGGCUGGCUUUGAACUCGCCAUCCCCCUUUCUCAAUCUCUUGAGCUGCGGGGAUUACAGGCCUGUGCCACCAUGCCAUCCUGCCCGCCCCCUUUUGUGUGUGUAUGGUACCAGAGAUUGAACCCAGGUGUACCGUAUCACUGAGCUACAUCUCUAGCCCCUUUUAUAUUUUAUUUUGACAUAAGGUCUCACGAAAUUGCCCAGGCUUCUUGAACUUUCUGUGGUUUCAGUCAAUCAGUUUAUUGCACUUUGCUAUAGUAGUCUAACAAGUUUUCAAAGAUGCUCGCCUCAGCAAUGAAUUUUCGAUGGCCUCAGUGAAGAGAGUAUUUUCUGGGCCUUUUCUAGGAAUUCAGGGAAAAGGUGAGUUGUCCAUGAUAAAAUUUCAGUCCCAACAUUUAUUUUGAAUGAAUGACUAGAUCUUAAGCACUACGUGUACUAGGAAGCUCUGGGCAUCUGCUAUGGUUUGGAUAUAGCUUGGCUGUGUCCCCAAGCAUUCAUGUGAUGAAAGCUUGGUCUUCAGUGUGUCAAUGCUAGGAGGCAGAGGACCUUUAAGAGGUAGACUUCAAACACAGGCCUGUAAUUCAAGAGAGUGGGGAGGCUGAGGCAGGAAGAUUGUAAAUUUGAGCAAACCUUGGCAAUUUAGUGAGACCCUAUUUCAAAAUUUAAAAAAGGGCACUGAGCAC